Ruditapes philippinarum (Manila clam) is the source of this 2356-nucleotide RNA transcript. It is a transcript of the gene named acanthoscurrin-2-like, with no coding region annotated. Lineage: Eukaryota; Metazoa; Mollusca; Bivalvia; Venerida; Veneridae. The record is from RefSeq and is a predicted model, not a curated record. The transcript has 7 exons.
UGUUACUUUAAAAUAAGUGUGUCUGUUAUAAAUAACGAAAACAGAAAUUAUCGGAAAUACACGAAGAUAUCCGAAUUUACACGAUGCGAUCAGAUAAGGGGAUUGCAAUAAGUGUUUCUUAAAUAAUCGAACACGUGUAACUGUUUGUGGUAUUGAAGUAUGGAUUACACAGGUUUGUUAUGUAGGUCGAUCACGUGACUGAGCGAUGCUCGAGCUUUUACACAUGUAACUUAAAGUUGCUAUUCGUGUGAUAUUGUCCUCGGGCGGCAUGUUAUUAUGUAAACUCCGUGCAAAUUUACCGUAACUUGUCCAUAGCCAAUGUGGUUUUAGGAGGGAAGGACACAACUUCACGGUACUAGAGGCAGGUGGUCAAUGGUAUGAGGGGUUUUAUUCACAGAGGAGAGGAAUCGGAACGUAUAUACUUCAUGUAUGAUUACACCUGGGACAUGACUCCAGUUACCUCCCCUACUACUACCUACUUGGUGAAUUGGAGCAGGUUUGAAUUCUUUCAACAGUUCAUGCUCGCAACAAUUGAAUGAGAUACAAUUCGUUGACACAAUCUUACCGUGUAAGUGGUGAUGAAAGAUGAAGGCGAUUUUUGAUGGUGUUGUUGGCGGUGGUGCUGGUGGUGGUGGUGUUGGUAGUGGUGAUGACGAUGGUGGUGAGGAUGAUGGUGGUGGUGGUGGUAGUGGUGUUGGUAGUGGUGAUGAUGAUGGUGGUGAGGAUGAUGGUGGUGGUUGUGGUAGUGGUACAACUACUGCAGGUUGUGUGGAUGUUGAUGGCGGUGGUCUUGAUAAUUUGUUGUUAGAAGGCAAGUGAAAAAAUUAUAUUAUAUGAAAACUGUUCUGAUAGAGACAGUAGCUUGCAUAGAUAUUAAGGUAAACAGUUCUAUUUACUUCUUAUUCUUUAAUUACAAAUCUGUUUUCAUAAUUUUAUAUAAUAUCUGAAUGUACUUUAGUUUCAAAAAUUGAGAAAAAAAUGAUUAUUAUUGAUAUAUUUUGUUUUGUGGCUGACAUACAUUGUUACUACAAUUUCUGCCAAGGGUUGUUAAAUGUAUGAGGCCAACAGUUCCAUAGCAAAAUUUAAAUAGGCGCUUGUGUUAGUAGUUUUCACUCCGGAUCACGGCAGUAAGCCACAAUGAAUUAAUCAGAGCACAGUUCAGCCACCACAUAGUCUCUGGGCAUGCUUGUCAAAGGGUUUACAAGUACCAGUUGUCUUUACUUUUGCAGGGAACUGAUAACUUCUGUUCAUGCAAAAGUAGAAUGGCCGUAGAUCAACCACAUCGAAACUGACCUGCACAGUCUGGAAAUCGAACCCGUGUUGCCCGAUUCACAGUCCAACGCCCUACCUAUUCAGAUUGUUAUUGUGGUCAACUUAAAAAGGAGAAGAUCCAUGGUCGAAUGAAUGUAACACAGCUUACUAGAACCGUGCUGAAUGGAAAUGUUUGCAGUUUUCAAGACUAACUAUUUUGCCGAUUUUGGCAAUACAUUGGAUUCAUCAAAAUGUUUAUUGAUAUUUUUAUUUAUCAUGUUUACUGAUAAACAAUUUUUAGAAUGGAUGAAUGACAUUUGUUUCACAAGCGAAAAACAUUUCUUUGAGUAUGGCUGGAAGACCUUGUUCCACAAGCGAACGGGAUGCCAAUGCAUUACUGACCUUGACCUUGAGUAUUAUUUCAGAAGACAGCCGGAGAAAGCGGAAGUAAGGAUGGCAUGAAGAUUUGACGCUGAAGUUCUCUACUAUAUUGUUUUGUUUGUGUGCAUGUGGAUUGGAGCAGAAAUUUUUAUUUCCGUUUAAGUUGUUUCACAGGUAGAGGGUGUUCAAUGUAGGAGAACAAAAGAAUGUUCAUGCACUUCAGUUAUGAUUGCUGCCAUGAUGUGACUGCAGUUACAGUUUUUGUACCCUCUGAAGUUCUGUACUAUUUGUAUUAUGUGACUGUGGAUUAGAGCAGAUUGUUCUUAUUCAAGGUAAGCUGUAGUAUAGAAAAAAACUACAGUCGUUGCACUUCUUAACUCAAAGACAAACAUAACUUUAGCCGCACUUCUAUUGCCGUAACAAGAUAAGUUGGAAGACGGAUUACUUCAGCUUGAACAGGUCCUUACAGCUAGCUUCCGGAAGGUCUGUGGUUCUACUGAUAUAUGCACUUGUGCUUGAACUAAUGCACGAAGAGUCAUAUGAGUUUAAGAAUAAAAACAAAUUGAAUAAAUUAAUGGUAGAAAUAAACAUAAGUAAAUUUUUAAAGUAACUUCUAUUUGUAAUUAAAAACAAAUGUUUAAAAACAUGAUUAAAAUCAUGUCAUAAAGUAAUCACGAGUGCAACUUUAACGUUUUAACAUUUGUUAAUUCUCUUUUUAGUUACU